UACGAACUGUGCGAACGUUAUUCGGAAUCACUGGGCUUACAGGGUGCGUAGGCGGUCUGUUAAGUAGGGUGUGAAAGCCCCCGGCUCAACCGGGGAAUGGCGCCCUAAACUGGCGGACUGGAGUGAGAUAGGGGUGUGCGGAACUUCCGGUGGAGCGGUGAAAUGUGUUGAUAUCGGAAGGAACGCCGGUGGCGAAAGCGGCACACUGGAUCUCAACUGACGCUGAGGCACGAAAGCCAGGGGAGCGAACGGG
Molecule: ribosomal RNA, 253 nt
Filed under: uncultured bacterium
Lineage: Bacteria
Description: partial 16S ribosomal RNA
Rfam family: Bacterial small subunit ribosomal RNA
Source: RNAcentral